This 492-nucleotide ribosomal RNA is filed under the name uncultured bacterium. Its description in RNAcentral is "partial 16S ribosomal RNA". It matches the Rfam family "Bacterial small subunit ribosomal RNA", at positions 29 to 507 of the family's 1533-position model. The record is from RNAcentral.
AGUGAACGCUGGCGGUAGGCCUAACACAUGCAAGUCGAACGGCAGCACAGUAAGAGCUUGCUCUUACGGGUGGCGAGUGGCGGACGGGUGAGGAAUACAUCGGAAUCUACUUUUUCGUGGGGGAUAACGUAGGGGAACUUACGCUAAUACCGCAUACGACCUACGGGUGAAAGCAGGGGGUCUUCGGACCUUGCGCGAUUGAAUGAGCCGAUGUCGGAUUAGCUAGUUGGCGGGGUAAAGGCCCACCAAGGCGACGAUCCGUAGCUGGUCUGAGAGGAUGAUCAGCCACACUGGAACUGAGACACGGUCCAGACUCCUACGGGAGGCAGCAGUGGGGAAUAUUGGACAAUGGGCGCAAGCCUGAUCCAGCCAUACCGCGUGGGUGAAGAAGGCCUUCGGGUUGUAAAGCCCUUUUGUUGGGAAAGAAAAGCAGCAGGUUAAUACCCCGCUGUUCUGACGGUACCCAAAGAAUAAGCACCGGCUAACUUCGUG